AUUUGAAACAAAUAAAAUGAAGAUGCUGAUUGAGAAAUCUUUAUAUAUAUAUAUAUAUAUAUAUAUAUAUAUAUCGUCCAAGUUUAAUUUAUAAUAUUUUAUUUGAAUUCUCUUGUUCUUGGUCGGCUUUGAGGACCAGUGUGACCUCUUUCGAGGGAAAGGAGUCCAUCGAGUCUGCUUCCAUUCACCGGUUCAUCCGCAAAGCAUCUCCUUUCCCUCGAUUCCUUCCUGUUCUCCCGCAGAAAGAUUUCCGACCCCCUCCCAGGUCUCUCGUUCUCGUUAUGGAUGAGGAGUACGACGUCAACGUCCUAGGGACUGGGCUCAAGGAAUGCAUCCUCAGCGGCCUGCCGUCCGUCGAUGGCCUCAAGGAAUGAUUACUAUGGAGGAGAGUCGACCUCACUCAAUCUCAUCCAGCUCUGGAAAAGGUUUAGGGGCAGUGAUAAGCCCCCCAGCACUUUUGGGUUCCAGCAGAGAUUACAAUGUUGACAUGAUUCCAAAGGUAUCUUUUCUGCUGUUCUUAUUCCCACAAUGUUGUCCCAAAAUGGAAGUCCAUUGCUUUUGUCUCAACUGAAGCUGUGACUGACCAUCCAGAUAUAGAACUAAAGCCAGGAAUUGAUCUUCUGGGACGAGUAGAUGAAUUAUUUUUUGAUACUUAUGACGGAAAUGAACCAGUCAACGAACCUUCACUUGAUAAUUGCUUCAUUUCAACUAGCUAUGAUGCUACAACUCAUUUUGAAUCAACUGCUGUGGAUGUUCUUUCUAUGUAUACCAAGAUCACUGGAAGGUUUGCAAUGCUACACGAUUUGCUACCAGGAUGAUCCACUGCUCGAUGAGACUUUUGAUCUCAGCAUUGAUCUAAGUGCUGCUGAAGAAUGAUGACUGCAUCCAGGGUAUAUGACAGGAAAGUUCUCGUCUCAGUAUUUUUCAUCAUAUGAUCAUAUCAAUAUAGCAUUCUAUUUGAAGCUGAAUGGAUCUGCAAUGAUGAUAUGUGCUUCUUGAAUAUAUUCUCCCUGAACAUAGCAUAACUAUUAAGUUAACAUUGUACAUUAAGAUUCAUUGUUUUUUAUGGGUUUCACUGUUGUCAAGGUUGUAUCAGAGAUGGAUUAUGCUUUAGAAGAAUGAUGUUUCUCUCCUGUGUUCGUUGCAUUCUUUGUCCACUCUUUUGUUUCAUUGGUCAAAACAAA
Molecule: long non-coding RNA, 1184 nt
Organism: Musa acuminata AAA Group (dessert banana)
Lineage: Eukaryota; Viridiplantae; Streptophyta; Magnoliopsida; Zingiberales; Musaceae
Exons: 7
Source: RefSeq, a predicted model, not a curated record